Molecule: RNA transcript, 3319 nt
Organism: Andrographis paniculata
Lineage: Eukaryota; Viridiplantae; Streptophyta; Magnoliopsida; Lamiales; Acanthaceae
Gene name: oxysterol-binding protein-related protein 1D
Exons: 9
Source: RefSeq, a predicted model, not a curated record
AAUACCCCUGGUCAACAAGCUAGUCAAUUUUCACGUAAACGAAGCCUACAGACCCAUUUCUGUCAUUUGACCUGUCAGACCAUUUUCCCAUAUUUACCGGAGCGCCCCUGGCUGGCUUCUGUUCUGCUCUGGCGUUCCCCCACACAGUUUUGCACAGUAGAGAGAGAGAGGAGGACAGAGAGAGAAAGAGGGGAGCCGCAGAGGCGCACUGCCACCACCGCGCACGUUAGCUGUCCCCCGCAAUGAUUACGCCUAACUGAACCCCCGAAGCUCUCCUUCCAUGCAUUUAAAUCGGCGCUGUUGCUUAACCUACGCACUCUGACAGUACUCGCAUUAAUUGGAUCUGCAGCGAUACUCGCCACACUCCUCUGCACUGCUGCCGCGUUACGACCUAUUAUGCUUGCACUCUACCGAUUUGCAGAUCCGUGACUGUUCGAUUUGUGGUAUUGCGCUUUUCCUUUCCUGGGGGUGGUCGGCAUAUGGUGGUGUAUUUGAGCUAUUGUGGCUCAAUCGAUCUACGAUCGGGUGUGCAGCUGCGGCGGUGUUGAGGAUCCGAGGCGGUGAUCGGAUCGGGUUCUGCGUAUUGCUGGUUGGAACAGGGAGAUGAAUCCGCUGUGCUGCAUUGCUCCGGUGUCGGUUGAGAAGGAUCGAGCUGUGGUGAAGUCACAAACCCUAAGUCAGGAGCUGGUAUUCGAUAGGAGCUGCGGCGAUGAGAGUGCAGAGUCUUAUAACUGUAGCAAUGUGAUUUUGAGACCUGUGAGUUUUAACUCGAGGAGGAGCUUGUCGACCAAUGGCGGCGGGGGAGGUGCAGUGGAUUCAUUGGCUGAUAAAUGCGAGGAUAAUAAUGAUGAAAUUAAGAGUGUAGUUGGGAUUCUGUAUAAAUGGGUGAAUUACGGCAAGGGUUGGAGGGAGAGAUGGUUCAUGCUGGAAGAUGGGGUGCUGUCGUAUUAUAAGGUACACGGGCCGGAUAAGAUCGUAGUGAGUUCGAGCAGGGAAAAGGGGGUUAGAAUUAUUGGUGAGGAGAGUUGGCGUUAUAUGAGAAAAGGUGGCAGUGGGAAUGGGAGUGGAAGCGGAAAUGGAAACGGGCUUAGGGCGAGUGUGUUCAGUUCAGGGAAGCAGUGGAAACCGUUUGGGGAGAUACAUUUGAAGGUUUCAUCAGUUCGUGCAAGCAAGUCAGAUGACAAAAGACUUUCCAUAUUCACUGGAACCAAAACACUACACCUGCGUUGUCAAUCUCGAGAGGACAGGGCUUCAUGGAUUGAGGCUCUCCUAGUUGCCAAAGACAAAUUCCCAAGAUUAUUGACAAGCAAUGAUUUGGCAACUUCCGAAGAAUUUGUUGUGUCAACAGAGAAGCUACGAUCACGGUUGACACAAGAGGGUGUCAAUGAGACACUUGUUAAAGAUUGUGAGUCAAUAAUGCUAGCUGAACUUUCUCAGAUGCAGAAUCAGAUGAAGAAUCUUCAACUCAAACACAUCUUGCUGCUUGACACUUUAAGAAGGCUGGAGACGGAGAAGAUAGAAUUGGAAACGACAGUAGUGGAUGAAACUAAGGCACGUGAUUCUUGCUGUGGACAAGGAAAUAGAAGAUUCAGUGAUUUCUAUUCAGUAAUGUCUGAGGGCAGUGCAAGUGAUUCAGAUGCUGAUAAUGAAAGCCGAUAUGGUGUAGAUGUUGAAACAGAUGAUGAUGAUGGAACUUUUUUUGACACCAAUGACUUUUUGUCUGCUGAAUCUUUAAGAAGUGCUUCUUAUCGAAGUAGAGAUAAUCCAAUAUAUGGAAAUAAAGAUUUUUCUGUCUCGGGAGAUUUCAGGGAAGCUGGGAUGGAAAUAAAGACAAUCAAAUUUCCAUCUAUCAAAAGAAGGGAUAAUUUACCAGACCCAAAGGAGAAAGAGAAGCCGGUUGGGCUGUGGUCAAUAAUCAAGGACAAUAUUGGCAAGGAUUUGUCUGGGGUUUGCCUUCCUGUAUACUUUAACGAGCCUCUGUCCUCAUUGCAGAAAUGUUUUGAAGACUUGGAGUACUCGCAUCUUGUUGACCAAGCACUUGAAUGGGGAAAACAGGGAAAUGAUUUGAUGAGAAUCUUAAAUGUAGCAGCCUUUGCCGUGUCUGGUUACUCUUCAACAGAAGGACGGCAAUGCAAACCCUUCAAUCCACUUCUUGGGGAAACCUAUGAGGCUGACUAUCCAGAUAAGGGCUUACGUUUUUUCUCUGAAAAGGUCAGUCAUCAUCCUAUGAUUGUUGCCUGUCAUUGUGAGGGUAAAGGUUGGAAAUUUUGGGCAGACUCUAAUCUCAAAGGCAAAUUUUGGGGUCGUUCUAUUCAGCUUGAUCCUGUGGGAAUUCUUACCCUUCAGUUCGAAGACGGUGAGACCUUUGAGUGGAGCAAGGUGACUACUUCUAUAUAUAAUAUUAUAAUUGGCAAAAUCUAUUGUGAUCAUUACGGCACCAUGCGAAUCAAAGGCAGUGGUAAUUACUCUUGCAAGCUCAAGUUCAAGGAGCAAUCUAUCAUUGACCGGAAUCCGCAUCAGGUUCAUGGAUUUGUGCAAGACAAUCGAACCGGAGAGAAAGUGGCAAUUUUGCUGGGGAAGUGGGACGAAGCAAUGUAUUAUGUGUUGGGAGAUCCAACUACAAAGCCAAAAGGGUAUGAUCCGAUGACAGAAGCUGUAUUGCUGUGGGAAAGGGAUAAAUCGGUUACCAAGACUAGAUACAACCUCACGCCAUUCGCCAUAUCUCUAAAUGAGUUGACGUCAGGGUUAAAGGAGAAGCUGCCACCAACAGACUCAAGACUGAGACCCGAUCAAAGACAUUUGGAGAAUGGAGAAUACGAAUUCGCAAAUGCAGAGAAACUAAGACUCGAACAGUUGCAGAGACAGGCUAGGAAAAUGCAAGAUCGAGGGUGGCAACCGAGGUGGUUCAAGAAGGAUGAGAAUGGCUGUUACAGGUACAUGGGAGGGUACUGGGAAGCAAGAGACGAACAUGACUGGGAUGGCAUUCCCGACAUAUUUGGGCAGCCUUGCGACUGCCCUCCACCAUCUACUGCCGAAGAUUAAGCUUUUCUCAGCUCAACACAAGGCAAAAAGAAGAUUAAUCCAAACCUCAAAUUAUGGUGCCAAUUCCAUCUGGAAAUGCUGUUGUAGUCUUCCACAGUGUUCUCACCCCAUCGGCGAGUUUGAGCUUGAGCUUGGCUUGGUGCGUCGAAUCUUGGCGCAAUGCGGCAGUGGAAGGGCCGGCAUUCGAACCAGCCGGCCGAGGCUGACGAUUCACGGGAUGUUUGGGCAUUAACUUCAUCACAACAUUUAUCUUCUUAUAGAAGCUAAUACUCCAAAA